RNAcentral lists this ribosomal RNA (414 nucleotides) under uncultured bacterium. Its description in RNAcentral is "bacterial SSU rRNA". It matches the Rfam family "Bacterial small subunit ribosomal RNA", at positions 28 to 426 of the family's 1533-position model. The record is from RNAcentral.
AACGAACGCUGGCGGCGUGCCUAACACAUGCAAGUCGUGCGAGAAAGUUCCUUCGGGAGCGAGUAAAGCGGCGCACGGGUGAGUAACACGUAGGUAACCUGCCCCCCAGUCUGGAACAACUAGAGGAAACUCUAGCUAAUGCCGGAUAAGACCACGGCCCCCUCGGGGGCUGCGGCCAAAGAUGGCCUCUACUUGUACGCUAUCGCUGAGGGAUGGGCCUGCGGGCCAUUAGCUUGUUGGUGAGGUAACGGCUCACCAAGGCUGUGAUGGCUAGCUGGUCUGAGAGGAUGACCAGCCACACUGGGACUGAGACACGGCCCAGACUCCUACGGGAGGCAGCAGUGGGGAAUAUUGCGCAAUGGGCGAAAGCCUGACGCAGCGACGCCGCGUGGGUGAUGAAGGCCUUCGGGUCGG